This is a long non-coding RNA of Leopardus geoffroyi (Geoffroy's cat), 158 nucleotides long. RefSeq lists it as uncharacterized. NCBI's taxonomy places the organism in Eukaryota, Metazoa, Chordata, Mammalia, Carnivora, Felidae. The record is from RefSeq and is a predicted model, not a curated record. The transcript has 3 exons.
UUAUAUACAUAAUAUAUUGUCAAAUUGGCUAACAUACGAUGUGUGAAGUGUGCUCUUAGUUUUUGAGGUAGAUUCUUGUGGUUCAUUGCUUACAUACAACACCCAGUGCUCAUCCCAACAAGUGCCCUCCUCAAUCCUCAUCACCUACUUUCCCCUUU